UACGUAGGGUGCGAGCGUUGUCCGGAAUUAUUGGGCGUAAAGAGCUCGUAGGCGGUCUGUCGCGUCGAUCGUGAAAACUUGGGGCUUAACCCUGAGCUUGCGGUCGAUACGGGCAUGACUGGAGUUCGGCAGGGGAGACUGGAAUUCCUGGUGUAGCGGUGAAAUGCGUAGAUAUCGAAAGGAACACCUGCGGCGAAGGCGGGUUGCUGGGCUGACACUGACGCUGAGGCGCGAAAGCGUGGGGAGCAAACAGG
RNAcentral lists this ribosomal RNA (254 nucleotides) under uncultured bacterium. RNAcentral describes it as "partial 16S ribosomal RNA". It matches the Rfam family "Bacterial small subunit ribosomal RNA", at positions 524 to 776 of the family's 1533-position model. The record is from RNAcentral.